UGGGGAAUAUUGCACAAUGGGCGCAAGCCUUAUGCAGCCAUGCCGCGUGUAUGAAGAAGGCCUUCGGGUUGUAAAGUACUUUCAGUCGGGAGGAAGGUGGUAAGGUUAAUAACCUUAUCAAUUGACGUUACCGACAGAAGAAGCACCGGCUAACUCCGUGCCAGCAGCCGCGGUAAUACGGAGGGUGCAAGCGUUAAUCGGAAUUACUGGGCGUAAAGCACACGCAGGCGGUUGAUUGAGUCAGAUGUGAAAUCCCCGGGCUUAACCCGGGAAUUGCAUCUGAUACUGGUCAGCUAGAGUCUUGUAGAGGGGGGUAGAAUUCCAUGUGUAGCGGUGAAAUGCGUAGAGAUGUGGAGGAAUACCGGUGGCGAAGGCGGCCCCCUGGACAAAGACUGACGCUCAGGUGCGAAAGCGUGGGGAGCAAACAGG
Molecule: ribosomal RNA, 429 nt
Filed under: Chloroflexota bacterium
Lineage: Bacteria; Bacillati; Chloroflexota
Description: Chloroflexi bacterium partial 16S ribosomal RNA
Rfam family: Bacterial small subunit ribosomal RNA
Source: RNAcentral